This 71-nucleotide transfer RNA is filed under the name Camelus bactrianus (Bactrian camel). It matches the Rfam family "tRNA". Rfam says of the family: Transfer RNA (tRNA) molecules are approximately 80 nucleotides in length. Their secondary structure includes four short double-helical elements and three loops (D, anti-codon, and T loops). Lineage: Eukaryota; Metazoa; Chordata; Mammalia; Artiodactyla; Camelidae. The record is from Rfam by way of RNAcentral. RNAcentral also lists the same sequence under 3 other names.
GAGGGUAUAGCUCAGUGGUAGAGUGUGUGCUUACAUGCACAAGGUCCUGGGUUCAAUCCCCAGUCCCUCCA